Long non-coding RNA from Macrobrachium nipponense, 559 nucleotides. RefSeq lists it as uncharacterized. The record is from RefSeq and is a predicted model, not a curated record. Lineage: Eukaryota; Metazoa; Arthropoda; Malacostraca; Decapoda; Palaemonidae. The transcript has 4 exons.
UCAGGAUUCGCAGAAAAUGCUAUGGAGAUUGCAGGGGAUAUUGUUGAAGCAUCGGGAGGUAGAGGCUCACCCGUUUGUGUCAUAGCUGAAGAAGCCUAAUCCAGCCAACCACUAUUAGAAUGUUUUCAGAGAGACAUCUUCUGGCUUUAGGUCUUCUUAUUUUCACCGUAGAGUCAGGAAAAGACGUGUCUUUACUGAUUUCAAGUUUGCAUCAGAUACGUCAGCUGUCAAAAAACCCUUUCCUGGUGAUAAUUGGAAAUGAUACUGAGCAUCAGUUAUCAAUUGUCGAAUCCUUAUUUCGUGAAAACCUCCUCGUAUGGCCAACAAAACUUCUGUUGAUCACAAAUCGUCAUCAAAAGAGGAUAAACCAAGAUCAGAAGACAAUUCUUUCUAAAGCCAAUGCCAUGGUACUUAAUCCAGCUAAAGAAGACCUCAGCAGGUGGGGUUUCCACAUCAUUUUACCAUUCAGUUACCGAUUUGUGAAAAUCGCUUCUUGGACACCACAUGAAAGGCUCGUUACCUCUCCAGGCCAGCAAUUAUUCCCGGAUAAGUUCAUGAG